GAUGAACGCUGGCGGCGUGCCUAAUACAUGCAAGUCGAGCGCACGGACGAGAAGCUUGUUUUUCUGAUGUUAGCGGCGGACGGGUGAGUAACACGUGGAUACCCUACCUAUAAGACUGGGAUAACUUCGGGAAACCGGAGCUAAUACCGGAUGAUAUUUUGAACCGCAUGGUUCAAAAGUGAAAGACGGUUUUGUUGUUACUUAUAGAUGGAUCCGCGCUGCAUUAGCUAGUAGGUAAGGUAACGGCUUACCAAGGCAACGAUGCAUAGCCGACCUGAGAGGGUGAUCGGCCACACUGGAACUGAGACACGGUCCAGACUCCUACGGGAGGCAGCAGUAGGGAAUCUUCCGCAAUGGGCGAAAGCCUGACGGAGCAACGCCGCGUGAGUGAUGAAGGUCUUCGGAUCGUAAAACUCUUUUAUUAGGGAAGAACAUAUGUGUAAGUAACUGUGCACAUCUUGACGGUACCUAAUCAGAAAGCCACGGCUAACUACGUG
RNAcentral lists this ribosomal RNA (497 nucleotides) under uncultured bacterium. RNAcentral describes it as "partial 16S ribosomal RNA". It matches the Rfam family "Bacterial small subunit ribosomal RNA", at positions 28 to 507 of the family's 1533-position model. The record is from RNAcentral.